CGGCUCGGGACCGCUCCCGGCAGGCCGAAGGCGGCAUUGCCACAAGGCAGGCGCGCAUGCGCACUGCCUCAAACGGCUCUCUGGCCUCACCCGCAGCUCGAAAGCGGUACUGCAAUUCCGAAUCGUGCGCACGCGCAGUGACUUCUCGGGCCGCUACCGUGCCGCUUUCCGUGCCUGCGGCGGGGAACAGCGUGGGAGCAUCAUGCGCGGGUCCCGGCUGGGGUGGCAGUGUCGGGCGGGGAUUGCAGGGAGCCUGCGGAGCCGCGGCGUGAGUGCCAGGUGGCAUUGGGCGGCUGCAAGAAGUCACGUGACAAGCCACUAGGGAUGGUGGCGUUGUACGAACUGGCGUCAUUCCACUCUCAAGAUGGUGACCGCGAGAGGAAUCACAUGUCACAACACUAAAGAUGGCGGAUUAGGAAAAAAAAAACCAUCCAAAUAAACAAAUCAAAAACCAAAACCAAAACCAAAAACCCAAACAAAACAAAACAGAAAACCACCUCGUGGCACCAUGCUCAAGAUGGUGACAGUGUACAGGAAAUGAUGCCAUGCCACUUUCAGGAUGGCAGCCCGGGCAUCCAAACCAGGCCAUCCUUCCCAAGAUGGCAGCAGGCAAGGCCUUGCUUUUGGGGAAGGCCAAAGAAUCACAGUAGAACCUCCCUCGUCAGAAGGGAGCAUCUCUCAUCAGAAAGGAACCUCCCUCCUCAGAAUGGAGCAUCUCUCCUCAGAAAGGAACCUCCUUCCUCAAAAGGGAACCUCUCUCAGUAAAGAGCCUCUCCCCUCAGAAAGACAGGCCUGGCUGCUGAGGACAACCUGUGUGAGAUCUGUGCCAAUGCUGCCUGCACCAUCUGCUUCUGAGAAGGUGGGAAAACCCACACAAAGCAUGUCCAGCUGGGAAGUUUGUGCGUUUCUAUAGCAGGAUCGUGUACUUUCACCCAUCAAUUUUUCUGGGCUCCAUCUCCCAGUGAAGCCAAACUGCAGCUGCCAGCUCUUGGGGAUGUUCCUGCAGUCCUGCAGCACCUGGAUUGAGAUGCCACCAGCAGAGCAGAUCUGCCAGCAAGGAGGCUGGGACUCCUCUGAGAGGUUCCAGUGCUGCAGGAGUUGGGUGACACUGGAAUGGAAAUGCCCUGGGUGUCAUUUCCCACUAUUUUGCCUGGGUUGAACGCACUGGGCAAAACUCAGUACUUUCUGCAGCCUUUUAGUAGGUAAUAUUAAUAUCUAAUAUUCAGUGUCUAAUACUUAAUAGCUAAUAUUUAAUGUCUGAUAAUUAAGAUUUAAUAUUUAAUACCUGGUUGUGAUUUGGCCUCCUGUACACGCAAGAGCAGGACCAGGUUAUCCCCUUUCUCAGCCCUCAUUUCCAGUGGGUUGGAUCCCUUUCCCUUCCCUCUGUCUGCAGGUGAUAUCUCUGAGUUUGUAGCAGAACUGCAACAAGUAACUCAAGAUGAAUUCCUGGUGUUGAGGAACACCUUGACAGCCAGAAACCAGCCUGUUCCUUGUACUGAUUAGGGAAUGGAUACAGAGGAGCAAAGGAAAUCUUCCCUGGUUGUGUAUUGAGAUUCUUUAAACUCCCUUUAGGAGGAAGGAAUUCCAAACUGCAGUGCUGGAAUCAUGUUGAAAUGAAAACAUUGCAUAUUGUUUUAUUUAUUGGUGGCAAGAAUGUGAAGAAAGGAUCUGCACAUGUUUAUAUGUGUAUAGGAAAUAAAAGCUAGGAAUAAUUUGGAUUUUUAAAAUGU
This 1730-nucleotide long non-coding RNA is filed under the name Serinus canaria (Common canary). RNAcentral describes it as "lncRNA (ENSSCAG00000001037.1)". The record is from RNAcentral. Lineage: Eukaryota; Metazoa; Chordata; Aves; Passeriformes; Fringillidae.